UACGGGGGGGGGCAAGCGUUGUUCGGAAUUACUGGGCGUAAAGGGUUCGUAGGUGGCCAACUCAGUCAGACGUGAAAUCCCUCAGCUCAACUGGGGAACUGCGUCUGAUACUAGAUGGCUCGAGUACAGGAGAGGAACGCGGAAUUCCAGGUGUAGCGGUGAAAUGCGUAGAUAUCUGGAGGAACACCGGUGGCGAAGGCGGCGUUCUGGACUGCAACUGACACUGAGGAACGAAAGCCAGGGGAGCAAACGGG
This 254-nucleotide ribosomal RNA is filed under the name uncultured bacterium. Its description in RNAcentral is "partial 16S ribosomal RNA". It matches the Rfam family "Bacterial small subunit ribosomal RNA", at positions 524 to 776 of the family's 1533-position model. The record is from RNAcentral.